CCUACGGGUGGCAGCAGUGAGGAAUAUUGGUCAAUGGGCGCGAGCCUGAACCAGCCAAGUAGCGUGAAGGCUGACUGCCCUACGGGUUGUAAACUUCUUUUAUCAAGGAGUAAAGUGAGGCACGUGUGACUUUUUGUAUGUACCUUAUGAAUAAGGAUCGGCUAACUCCGUGCCAGCAGCCGCGGUAAUACGGAGGAUACGAGCGUUAUCCGGAUUUAUUGGGUUUAAAGGGCGUGUAGAUGGGUUGUUAAGUCAGUAGUGAAAGUUUGCGGCUCAACCGUAAAAGUGCAAUUGAUCCUGGCAGUCUUGAGUACAGUUGAGGUAGGCGGAAUUCGUGGUGUAGCGGUGAAAUGCUUAGAUAUCACGAAGAACUCCGAUUGCGAAGGCAGCUUACUAAACUGCCACUGACAUUGAUGCUCGAAAGUGUGGGUAUCAAACAGGAUUAGAUACCCGUGUAGUC
This 460-nucleotide ribosomal RNA is filed under the name uncultured bacterium. RNAcentral's name for it is "partial 16S ribosomal RNA". It matches the Rfam family "Bacterial small subunit ribosomal RNA", at positions 338 to 795 of the family's 1533-position model. The record is from RNAcentral.